GAUGAACGCUGGCGGCGUGCUUAACACAUGCAAGUCGAACGAACCUUCGGGUUAGUGGCGGACGGGUGAGUAACGCGUGGGAAUCUGCCCUCAGGAGGGGGAUAACGGUUGGAAACGACCGCUAAUACCCCAUAUGCCGAGAGGUGAAAUGAAUUUCGCCUGAGGAUGAGCCCGCGUCUGAUUAGCUAGUUGGUGGGGUAAUGGCCCACCAAGGCGACGAUCAGUAGCUGGUCUGAGAGGAUGAUCAGCCACACUGGGACUGAGACACGGCCCAGACUCCUACGGGAGGCAGCAGUGGGGAAUUUUCCGCAAUGGGCGAAAGCCUGACGGAGCAACGCCGCGUGAGGGAUGAAGGCCUCUGGGCUGUAAACCUCUUUUCUCAAGGAAGAAGACAUGACGGUACUUGAGGAAUAAGCCACGGCUAAUUCCGUGCCAGCAGCCGCGGUAAUACGGGAGUGGCAAGCGUUAUCCGGAAUUAUUGGGCGUAAAGCGUCCGCAGGCGGCCUUGUAAGUCUGUCGUUAAAGCGUGGAGCUUAACUCCAUUUCAGCGAUGGAAACUACAAGGCUUGAGUGUGGUAGGGGCAGAGGGAAUUCCCGGUGUAGCGGUGAAAUGCGUAGAUAUCGGGAAGAACACCAGUGGCGAAGGCGCUCUGCUGGGCCAUAACUGACGCUCAUGGACGAAAGCCAGGGGAGCGAAAGGGAUUAGAUACCCCUGUAGUCCUGGCCGUAAACGAUGAACACUAGGUGUCGGGGGAAUCGACCCCCUCGGUGUCGUAGCUAACGCGUUAAGUGUUCCGCCUGGGGAGUACGCACGCAAGUGUGAAACUCAAAGGAAUUGACGGGGGCCCGCACAAGCGGUGGAGUAUGUGGUUUAAUUCGAUGCAACGCGAAGAACCUUACCAGGGUUUGACAUCCUGCGAAUCCCUUGGAAACGAGGGAGUGCCUUCGGGAGCGCAGAGACAGGUGGUGCAUGGCUGUCGUCAGCUCGUGUCGUGAGAUGUUGGGUUAAGUCCCGCAACGAGCGCAACCCACGUCUUUAGUUGCCAGCAUUUAGUUGGGCACUCUAGAGAGACCGCCGGUGAUAAACCGGAGGAAGGUGUGGAUGACGUCAAGUCAUCAUGCCCCUUACAUCCUGGGCUACACACGUACUACAAUGCUACGGACAAAGGGUUGCAAGCUCGCGAGAGUUAGCUAAUCCCAUAAACCGUGGCUCAGUUCAGAUCGUAGGCUGCAACUCGCCUACGUGAAGGAGGAAUCGCUAGUAAUCGCAGGUCAGCAUACUGCGGUGAAUACGUUCCCGGGCCUUGUACACACCGCCCGUCACACCAUGGAAGUUGGCCAUGCCCGAAGUCGUUACUCCAACCCUUGUGGAGGAGGACGCCGAAGGUGGGGCUGAUGACUGGGGUGAAGUCGUAACAAGGUAGCCGUACCGGAAGGUGCGGCUGGAUCACCUCCU
Molecule: ribosomal RNA, 1456 nt
Filed under: Cyanobium sp. JJ22-10
Lineage: Bacteria; Bacillati; Cyanobacteriota; Cyanophyceae; Synechococcales; Prochlorococcaceae
Description: 16S ribosomal RNA
Rfam family: Bacterial small subunit ribosomal RNA
Source: RNAcentral